AGUGCUUCGAACAAAGCUCAAGGGUUUGGAUGUCUAUUGUGGAACAUUUGGAUUGUUCUCCACCGAUAGACAUAAAAUUUAAGACCCUGCGAACGUUUACUGUUUCGAUUGCUUGCAAUGGCCAAAAGCAGUUUUGUUAAGUGCUGAUUAGGAAUUCGAACCAUUUUAUCUCUACUUAUAAAGAUUGUCAAUCAAAACACAAUCUCAGGUGCUACUAAACCAGAAAUACAAAAAUAUUACUUAAUAUAAAAGUCCGUAUAUAUAUAUGGAAAUUUCUUGGAAGUAUAUUAUGACAUGCCUUUUAAAUAAUUGCAAAAAUAUCCAAUGGCAAGGAAUUCAAAUGCCAUUACAAAAUUUUAAUUUUUAAUAUUUCAUUGUAGUUUUCACCAAAUUUUUAUCUCAAUAAUCGUUAGUUACAUUUAGACAUGUCUUAGUAAGCAUUUAAGGGGCUUUUAUUUCGCAACACCUGAAUCAUUUUCUAUAGAGACAAUGCGUUUUAAUGCCUCUUGCUGGCUCUUGUAUACAAUUUCCUGACUUUAUUUAUUCAGCAUUCCUGAUUGUUUUUUGCCUUUCCUGCUUCAUUUCCUGUGCUUCACAUUCACAAUGAUGCAAAGUGGCUGCCACUAACGCUCUGGCAUUAUCCCGAAGUGUGUAAUUACGUAUGCUGAUGGGCGGUGGGCGACUGCCAUGCCCUUUCGCAUAGUUUCUGUCUAGUUGCAGUGCAUAAAUUAUGUUAGGCCAAAGUGCAAGCAGAGUUAUGUAGACGGACUAGGUUUGCUCGAAAGAUUAACGCCUUCGUUUUGUUUUUAAUGCGGCAUGGCACUCACAUCGGAUGCCACACCCACUCGUCCUUAUGCUGAUGCUUAUGCCACUAAGCCGUCUGCGAGUAGCAGGAAAAAUAAACUGCAACGGAAGCUGCACCUCAUCGUCGGGCCUUCCCCACCAACUUCCCAACGACUGUGUCAGUUUUGGGGGACUGUUUCAUGCGGCCACUUCAGUGCCAACUACAGCGACAAUAAUACGGCCAAAGCAGCAUUCAAAACACUGACAGAAAUAGCGCGGUCAUUCACAAAAAUUCAUUCACUUUUGCAAACUUCUAAUUUCAUAAUUAAAAUUACUUAAAAAAAAGAUAUUUACUCGAAUGUUUUAUUCUGUCGUAAAGGGCUUGCCUGAGUCAGCGUGAAGUUUUAUUAUAUUAUUAAAUCUUUGAUUUUAACAAUUAUUAAUUUAAUGCAUUUUUCCCAGUGCCAUAAGCGCCGGAUAAGGUGCGAAAACGAGUCGGGUGUAUGUGUGUCUCUUAAUGAUAAUGAUGACAGUCUGUCGCUGGCUGUGCUGCACUUGCUCUUUAUGCUGACUCUGUAGGACUCUCGGCGCGCUAGUUAAAGUUUUAAUUUGGCAUAUUAUAGUGGCUGGAGUGGCACAGCAGGCGCUCGUUAAAUAUGCCCACAGAACACAUGGAAUUAGAGCCACAAAAGCUACGUAAAAAAAGGAACCACCGUCAGAGACAGCGACUUAUGGCAUUGAACUUAGCCAAAGGAAAGGGUCCUUGGGAGCUGAGAUUCUUGGCCACAAGUGUGUGUAUCGACAUGCUCGAGUGGCUCAAAAUGAAUGGUUGGAGUGGUUGGCGCUAAAGCUGCUGAAAUGCCGCUGGCUGCAGAUGGCAUUUUAUAGUGAUAAUUUCAACUAACUAAUUGUGGUGUCAUAGAAUUCCAGAGACCUUUAAUAACGUUUGCAUCUCAUAAAAAAGUCGAUUUUCUCGUUGCUCAGCUUAUGCGAAAGUUUAAAUAGAAAUAGGCAAGAGAAGUAUUCUUUUACUAACUUUAUAAGAUCUCUAUGUGCACCCUCUUAACCACCUUAACUGUAUAUGUACAUAUUUCCAUUGCGAUAAGAUAUUUUUAGCAUGUAAGUGUUUGCUAAUUUUGCUUUAACUUUAUCAGCUAUACAAUUAACAAGGGGUUUUUCCAAAUAUUAGGUUGAGGUAAUUAUAAUUAGCCUUAAUUGAGUGCAUCGAGUACAAUAUAUAUGUAGAUAAAUUUGUUUGUCACGACAAACCAAUCAAUUUAAAUUGUGAUUCCCAUCCGAAAGCGUCUUACUCAUUUGGGUUGUUAACGUUUGUUUAAUUUUAUUGAUAGAGCAAUAAAAGCGGCAAAACUUCCCCGGUAGCUCUAGACAGAGAUUUUGGCAACAUCAAACUCCACGUCCAGUGUGGCUAUUAAUGUUCUUGCGGCUUUUGAGCAUUUCAAUUCGUCCCGUUACUUGCUUUAAGCCAUUUAGCAAAUUAUUCGCAACGUGCCUCAACCCUGGAAUGUAAAACUAGAAGAGAAGGAAAAAGCAGCGGAGCUGAGACGAGAGCAGACAGCCAUCGAAGUUGAAUGGAAAUUUUUUGGCAAAGCAUUUUCAAUUCAAUCAAACACCCCACACAUGCUGGCAUUUAAAUAAAAAUAAACAAGGCAAAGGAAUACUUCGAAACACUUUUAAGCAUCAUUACAUUAGCAAAUUUCACCGAUUUCGGGGUAUAGGAUGGUUUCGAUUGAGACGAUGGAUGCGAAAAGUCGAUAAAAGGACUUGUGUUCAUGUGUGUAUGCGUUAGAGGCGGAACGGGCGUGGCAGGGGCAAUAAGAAAGCACACAUGGCCCACACGAACGCGAAGUUCGCUUACUUCCGUUUCCGUUUUUCGGCAUUUUCUAAUUUCCAUUCGCCCCAUAGUCGUGGGAAAUGUAAUUAUGGCCAUAGAAGAACCCGCAGAACCCUCUGACGUGAGCUGUUGGCCAGCUGUUGGUAGGUUUGGUGUAAUUGUCGUUAUAAUAAAUAACUUCAACUGUCCGACACUUGACACUUGACAUCAGCUGCAGCGGAAGCGGCAACAGGAGCCGCAAAAAGAAAAUCCCCACCCCGUUCUGCAUUUCCUUCAUAUGGGUGCAUGCAAAGUGCCAGAAAAACAUUUACCAUUGCCGCAUAUUUCAAAUGCGGACACAUGUAAAAAUGCUGAAGCGCUGAUAAGGACAUUAACAUUUGGCCAAACACAUAGACAUGGCGGAAAGCCAGGCAUGGGGGUUUUUGGGGGAAAACUUCCUUCCGCAUAUGCGAAACAUCAAAAAAAAAAAAAAUUAAGCGGAAAACCUUCACCUCGUCGCUUUUGACACGCAAAUUUAUAACGGCAACAGUGGCAAACAAAAACUUGCUAUGGCCAAAACACACAAGCGCCCAGACCCUCAAAAAUAAAGAAGGGAAAGGCACAAAUUUUUGAACGCAUACAAAUGCAAUUUAAAUUUACUUAUUUAGAACCCCUGGGAAUUUCAAAUUAUUUGCCUUUUCACGCAAAUUUAGCGACCAUUUUUCUCACAGAAAUAGAACUCAGACAGGUGGGUCGUCGUCGGGCCGGAGUUUUCAUAGUUGGGGAUAUUAAGCCAACCCCCUGACAUGUGUACACGGGCUGAUUCUUGGGCGUAACUUUUUCCAACUCUCAUUCUUUUUUUUUUACUUUCCAUGGGGGCGAUUAGAAAAUGCUUCACCCCACCGAAGAAAGUAACCCAAAAGUCUCUGACAAAUGCUCUUUGGCCAGCAUGUUGUUGUUGCUGCUGUGUUCUGUGGUGAUUAAUGACGUCGAAAGCUGAGCAGGAUCUGCUCUGCGGGGAUGCCGUGGCAGCUUAAUUUAAAAUGAAAAUUGUACUUAAUUUCUAGCUGAAAUUUGGCGGCAUUGGACGGGGGGCUUGUAGACUGAUUAUGCUCUUCAUGGUUUUGCCUUGUGCUCUAUAGGGAUAGCCAUCCAUAGCUCAGCUCUGGUUCGUUAGAAAUAAGCUUGAACAAAUAUUACAUUUUUGCCUUGUUAAUGAUUCGAAAGUUGAAAAAGAAUGUACAAAUUUUGAGAAAUUAAUCCUGUUUGUCUAGAUAUUUAAAUGGUCACAUAAGGGAGCACCUUUAACCUUUUGUAGAAAAGCAUCACUUUUAUUUGCAUUUUACGUAUUUAACUCAAAUACCUAAUACGUUCGAAUGUAAUUUCUUUUAAUUAAACCUUUAUAAAAUUCCUGACUUAAUACAAAGCUUACGUCCAAAACAAAGCCAACAAAAAACUAAUUGCCACCUGUUAACAUUCCUAAAAUGCUUUUACUCUCCUUCAAAAUCAUUAUUUUUAUAAAGUUUUCAGAUUAAAUUGCCAGGUUUUUUUCUUACAUCCAACAAACAAUCUUUGCAUGUGUAACGCCAGAGUUUAUCACUCAAGUCGGCUGUCCCCACCACAAGCAAAUUGAAUUAAGAUUACCACACAAGGAUUUCAAAGCAUUUGCGGAGAAGUCAAACAAGCUUUAGUUUAUUAUUAUUAUUGCGUCAGAGCGAAAAGUUUUCAGCCACUGGUUGGUCAGGGGGCGGAUGUUGGGAUGGUGGAGGGGGCUGUGGUGUCUGCGUGUGCGUUGGAAAAUUUUCAAUCGCAAUCUUAUGGUUUAUUUCUUUAGCGCCAAAGCUACUUUAUUUUGACAGCAGACAAACAAAUGUCAGAAUUGAAAUUAAAAGGAAGGCAGCGACAGCAGAAGAAGUCAGUGGAAAACUUGUGAAAAACACGCCCGACUCAAAGAUGUAGACGAAGGUUUUUGCGAGGGAGAAGGGAUGUCUUGGCCACAGUACGCAGUCCCAAUCAGAAACUCCGGAUCCCGGCCACGACUUUGGAUCCGACUCCGACUCCGGCUCGAUUCCAUCAGCCUCAGUCUGAGUCUCAGCAUCAGCAUUACCACCCACACGCACUGACUUUCCUGCAUUCCCGCAUUUUCUUUUUGUACAUUUCACACAGCGUGAAAUUUUCUAAAUGUCAUUUUGCUGUCAUCUCGUGGAUAAUAAGAUUACAACUACGCUGAAAUAAUAGGAUUCAAAUGAAAAAACUUUGCCGUCGUCGUCUGUCUCCUUGCGCUUCUCAACUUUCAAUACGCGCUUGGCCACACCUCUCCGCCCAGAUACAUAGAUAUAUAUCUGAAUCAGAAUCCGACUGGGGCGUU
Non-coding RNA from Drosophila melanogaster (fruit fly), 4982 nucleotides. Lineage: Eukaryota; Metazoa; Arthropoda; Insecta; Diptera; Drosophilidae. The record is from Ensembl.